Gymnodraco acuticeps is the source of this 400-nucleotide long non-coding RNA. RefSeq lists it as uncharacterized. The transcript is spliced from 4 exons. The record is from RefSeq and is a predicted model, not a curated record. NCBI's taxonomy places the organism in Eukaryota, Metazoa, Chordata, Actinopteri, Perciformes, Bathydraconidae.
CGAAAACUUUUUUAAAAGUAUUUUUAUUGCUGUUAUAGAUCAACUUUAAUGAUUAUCAAGCCGUGAUCGCCUUUGUAAAUAUUGAAAGAACACACUGGAAGUUGCUGUACUUAUUUCCUGCUAUAAGAUCAGUAUUUUUGGUGGAUCCAGCGGCAAAUUCCAAAGAGAAAGCAGACUCGGAAAAUGCUGCGAAAAGAGUACGGGAAUACUUCAAGAUGAGGAGGACCUGCUAUGGCAAGGAGGACUGUCAAAUGGAGAGGAGCAACCAUGCACCAUCCAGUUCAACGUGAUGGCAGUAGCUGUGGGGUCAUUGUUACCAUGAUGGCAAGAGCAGUGAUGGAGGCCUUUCCUGCAUUACCAAUUAUGUCCUUUGGGACAUCCAAAAAGGAGAUGGCUUGUG